UUGGAGGGCAAGUCUGGUGCCAGCAGCCGCGGUAAUUCCAGCUCCAAUAGCGUAUAUUAAAGUUGUUGCAGUUAAAAGCUCGUAGUUGAAUUUCGGGGUCAGUAGGUUGGUCAUGCCACUGGUAUGUACUGGUCUCACUGAUUCCUCCUUCCUGAUGAACUGUAAUGCCAUUAAUUUGGUGUUGCAGGGAAUCUGGACUGUUACUUUGAAAAAAUUAGAGUGUUUAAAGCAGGCUAACGCCUGAAUACAUUAGCAUGGAAUAAUGAAAUAGGACGUUCGAUCCUAUUUUGUUGGUUUCUAGGAUUGACGUAAUGAUUAAUAGGGAUAGUUGGGGGCAUUAGUAUUCAAUUGUCAGAGGUGAAAUUCUUGGAUUUAUUGAAGACUAACUACUGCGAAAGCAUCUGCCAAGGAUGUUUUCAUUAAUCAAGAACGAAAGUUAGGGGAUCGAAGACGAUCAGAUACCGUCGUAGUCUUAACCAUAAACCAUGCCGACUAGGGAUCGGAUGAUGUUAAUUUUUUAAUGACUCAUUCGGCGCCUUACGGAAACCAAAGUGUUUGGGUUC
This 563-nucleotide ribosomal RNA is filed under the name uncultured Glomeromycotina. RNAcentral's name for it is "SSU rRNA". It matches the Rfam family "Eukaryotic small subunit ribosomal RNA", at positions 548 to 1114 of the family's 1831-position model. Lineage: Eukaryota; Fungi; Glomeromycota. The record is from RNAcentral.